This is a long non-coding RNA of Hevea brasiliensis (rubber tree), 848 nucleotides long. RefSeq lists it as uncharacterized. The record is from RefSeq and is a predicted model, not a curated record. NCBI's taxonomy places the organism in Eukaryota, Viridiplantae, Streptophyta, Magnoliopsida, Malpighiales, Euphorbiaceae. The transcript is spliced from 2 exons.
CUACUCAUCCCUCUUCUGCAUGCCGUUCUCCCACUACAUAUUGCUUUCCCCCUCCUACAAACCCAACCCAUCGCACCUCCUCAAUAAUGCCAAAUAUAGCUUGGUGAUUCAAACGAAAAUGAAGGGAAUGUAGAUGAAGGAGAUAGCAGAUGAUUCUCCUCUCUGGAUUCAGGAUUUCACUGCCCGACGGAGGAGUGGGCAUAAUCGGAUCCCAGAUCAAGGUUUUAAUGUAGUAUGAUUACAGAUUCUUUUGCAGAAGGCCUCCCGAUGGAUUGCUAGAAUUUGUCGACAUAGUAUAUGGUAACUAAAAUCUUCCCUUACCUUUUCCUUUUCUUUGCUAGUUUUGCAAUGUCUGAUAUUUACAUCUAGUUUCGGCAAAUUUUCUAUCCUUGCUUAUUCUACAAAAGUUUUUCCUAAAGGAAUGUACCCAAUAUAUCUACAUGAAAUUGUAGCGAAAUUGCAUAGGAAUUUCCUGAUUCAGCUUUUCUCAAUUACAAUUUUCAUGAGGGUGAAAGGAGGAGCUAAUUUGCCGUAAUUGUACGCCAAAAUGGUGUCUUCGUCGUGGAUUAUCUACAAUAAUACGAAGGUUGUCUUUUCUUCCUUGUCUUUGAAGCAUUUUCUUCUUGUUUGUGAGACUUGGAUGAUCGAGUUGAUGAGACAGAAAAGAGGGGGUGGUGGGGGAGUCAAAGAUGGAGAGAGAGAGAGAGAGAGAGAGAGAGAGAGAGAGAGAUUUAAGGCAUAAUUAUUGUAUCUCAAAUCAGAAAGGGACAAGUUGUACCUAGUAGUAAAUCGUGAAACGGUUUGAACGAGGGAGAGAGUAAAACAACUAUUUACAGUUUUUUUUUUUU